RNAcentral lists this ribosomal RNA (301 nucleotides) under uncultured bacterium. Its description in RNAcentral is "partial 16S ribosomal RNA". It matches the Rfam family "Bacterial small subunit ribosomal RNA", at positions 509 to 807 of the family's 1533-position model. The record is from RNAcentral.
CAGCCGCCGCGGUAACACGUAGGGCGCAAGCGUUAUCCGGAAUUAUUGGGCGUAAAGAGCUCGUAGGCGGUUUGUCGCGUCUGCCGUGAAAGUCCGGGGCUCAACCCCGGAUCUGCGGUGGGUACGGGCAGACUAGAGUGAUGUAGGGGAGACUGGAAUUCCUGGUGUAGCGGUGAAAUGCGCAGAUAUCAGGAGGAACACCGAUGGCGAAGGCAGGUCUCUGGGCAUUAACUGACGCUGAGGAGCGAAAGCAUGGGGAGCGAACAGGAUUAGAUACCCCGGUAGUCCCUGUCUCUUAUAC